RNAcentral lists this ribosomal RNA (1218 nucleotides) under Triticum aestivum (bread wheat). RNAcentral describes it as "partial small subunit ribosomal RNA". Lineage: Eukaryota; Viridiplantae; Streptophyta; Magnoliopsida; Poales; Poaceae. The record is from RNAcentral.
AUGGGCUCCCGCCGUGGUGACAAGCCACCCAUGUCGCCUCCGAUUCCGGCGGCGGAACGCCAGCGCGAGAAGGAUCUGCGGGCGAAGGCGCUCGCCAAGGUGCCUGCGACCCCUGCGGAGGACGGGGGCUGGGGGCCGCCGCCUCCAUGGUGGCUCGCUGAGCAGGAACGGAAGAAGCAAGAGGAGCGCGAGCGCAAGAAGAAGAAGAAGGAGGAGUACCGGCAGCGGGGGCUCGAGCAGAAGAAGGAGCUCAAGCGGAAGGAGUCCCAGCUCCCUCCGGGCGGUGAGCGGGGUGGGGACCCGCAGGCCAAGAAGCCGAAGCACAAGGGGGCCGGCUCGGCGCUGCUGCUGCUGGCGGCUGGCCCCGAGGCUUCUAGGGGGUCGGCUGACGCCCCGAUCCCCAUGGAAGAGGCCGACGGGCCGGAGUGUUUCAAAUGCGGCAGGGUGGGGCACUAUCAAAACAUGUGCUCCUUCAAACCCCUGUGCGUCGUCUACCAUGAGGAGGGCCAUGCGUCGGCUUACUGUCCCACGCGGGGGAGGCCCCUGGCGCUGCAGAUCAUGGGCAACGCGAUCCCUGGUGAGGGAUUCUUCUGCCUCCCAUUCGUGGACACGGAGGGUGAGGAGGUCCACGCUCCUCUCGUGUCGGACACGGCGAUCAUUUCGGCAGCGAACGGCAAGUUGUCAAUCCUCAUCUUGGAGGCGGAACUCCCCCACCUCUUCGAAGGGGAGUGGGACUGGCAGGUGUCGGCCGUCGGAGUCGAUCAGUUCUCGGUCGUCUUCCCCGACAAGGCCAUGCUGCGGAUGGCGACCCGCAGCGGCAAGCUCUACUUCUCCCUCCACGACAUCAUGGCGGACAUCAAGGAGGCUCGCCCGGAGGAGCCCAAGGCCGAGCUCAUGCCGGACACUUGGGUCAAGCUGUGGGGUGUGCCGCCCAAGCACCGUCACGUGGAUCGCCUCAUGGCCGCCACGGUGAUGAUUGGGCGUCCUAUGGAGGUGGAUACGGGUCGCUGUCAGGCCUGGGACCGGUGCGGAUGCGUUUUGCGUGCCGUGCCCCGGCCAAGCUCAAGGGAUACGUGCAGGUUUGGUUCAACAGUGAGGGAUUCACCUUCCGCCUGGAGGCCGAGACGGGUGCUCUGCAGGGUGCGACUCCCACUCCCCCUCCCCCUCCCAAGGGCCAGGAAGACAAGGACAAGGACAAGGACAAGGACCACGACAUGA